GAUGAACGCUGGCGGCGUGCUUAACACAUGCAAGUCGAGCGAGAAGUUUUGAAAAGAUUCUUCGGAUGAAAUUUAAAAUGGAAAGCGGCGGACGGGUGAGUAACGCGUAGGCAACCUGCCCCAUACAAAGGGAUAGCAUUUGGAAACGAAUAUUAAUACCUUAUGAAACUUAACUAGUGCAUGCUAGGUAGGUCAAAGAUUUAUCGGUAUGGGAUGGGCCUGCGUCUGAUUAGCUAGUUGGUGAGGUAACGGCUCACCAAGGCGACGAUCAGUAGCCGACCUGAGAGGGUGAACGGCCACAUUGGAACUGAGACACGGUCCAAACUCCUACGGGAGGCAGCAGUGGGGAAUAUUGCACAAUGGGGGAAACCCUGAUGCGGCAACGCCGCGUGAACGAUGAAGGCCUUCGGGUCGUAAAGUUCUGUUCUAGGUGAUGAAAACUGACAGUAACCUAGGAGAAAGCCCCGGCUAACUCCGUG
RNAcentral lists this ribosomal RNA (479 nucleotides) under uncultured bacterium. RNAcentral describes it as "partial 16S ribosomal RNA". It matches the Rfam family "Bacterial small subunit ribosomal RNA", at positions 28 to 507 of the family's 1533-position model. The record is from RNAcentral.